Long non-coding RNA from Dermochelys coriacea (leatherback sea turtle), 2444 nucleotides. RefSeq lists it as uncharacterized. Lineage: Eukaryota; Metazoa; Chordata; Testudines; Dermochelyidae. The transcript has 2 exons. The record is from RefSeq and is a predicted model, not a curated record.
CUUUAUUGUAAUUGAAAUCUAUAUAUUUGAAAAUGUAGAACAUCCAAAAAUUUAAUACAUUUCAAUUGGUAUGCUAUUAAUCACAAUUUUUUAAAAUCACAAUUAAUAAUUGAGUUAAUCAUGAGAGUUAACUGUGAUGAAUGAAAAGUAGGGCUGCUGAUUAAUCUACAGUAACCUGAUCAUAACAACCACUGCACUUUCAUUGCAGUGAGAUGUACAAUAGUGACUUCAAAAUGUAAAUUCACCUUUUAGCACUUCACAUCCCCAUGGAAUAUAUUAUGAAGUUACCAUUUUAUACAAGUUGAAAUAUUUUUAAAGGAAGGCAGUAUAUAUGGAUAACCUAACCUAUGUCUAUUGGCACUAUAAUAGCAAAGAAAUCUAGGUUCAAUUGCAGGACUCUAUCCUCUACAUUGAACUACCACUAUCCACAUUGGACCUUUCUACAGUCGACAUAAAGGCAUCCUUAAAAACAAGUUAGUAUUUGCAUAUAUGGCUGGCUAGCUAUUUUCCUAUUCUAGACAUGGCUAGAGAGAACAGCUUGUACUAGUUUGGAGGAAAUAACAAUAGAGAGAAUAUGGUGCCUCACUCAUUGAGAAUAAUCAGUCUCCAUGCCUUAAUUCCAAAUAAUUAGGACAUGUCUACCUGGUUGUAGUUCUACUCAUGAGCUGGAGGGACUAGCAUUUUGGUUUCUACACUUGGCUACUGUACAAUUGAAUGUAAAUUGCCAGGAGCUCUGAUUCAGGAGGAGGGGGUGAGAAUUAUAAGCAGCAUUUUUUCUAUUUUCCUAUUAAAGAUUAACUAACAAUAUUUCCAGAACACGGUUUCUGGGGAUCCUUUCAUCAAUCAACAGAAUACCUUGCCCUAAUAUUUUGUGGAAAAAGGGGCAUCUCCCUAACUAACAUGGAAAUUCAAUUGUAAAGAGAGCUCAGCUCUUUCAUAGAUCUGCACCCAGAAGUCCAAAGCAAGGAAGUGAUCUCACUUUCAGGUAAUGGCAGCCAAACUUGAUGUGCAUUUUUUUCCAUUUAAAAAAUCAUCACUCCAGUGGUUAGAGAAGCUAACAAUGCAUUGAUAAGUAGAGUGGCUGAAGUGCUUCUGGGCUGUGUCAAACUACUAAACAUCUGUGCACAAAAAGCAGCAGCCCCAAAUUGAGAGGGCGGAUGCAAGAUUAAAAUCCAAUGGGGAUUCUGUAUGCUUCUAUUAUAAGAAUAAUCCCUGGGCCCACUGAAGUCACACCUAGUUUGGCUUCAGUGGUUUUAAUAGUUUGGGAUACAUCUUUGCACACUACUCUGAGACUAGGGAAUCUAUGGAGACAUUUCAGAGCAAGAGCAGACUAACUUGUAAAAGGGAUAGUGAGUAAAAGUUGAGGUCUAAGAUACAGGAUGGAGACCCUUUAGCAGAUCUAGUGUCCAUUGUAAGAAACAUUUUCAAGUGAAGGUUAUUUUUAGUUCUGCUGUCAUUUUUAGUUUUUCGUUGUUUCAUGUUGAGGUGAAACUAGUUCAGUUACAGCACCUAAUCACACCUUCCAGUGGAAAAAAAAUUUUGUACCUCAAAAGUAUGUUUAUUUGAAUGUUCCAUUGUAAAGGGACUAAGAUAAAAAAAAGCUCUCCUUCCUCCACCCCUCAGUCUUUAACUGUAAUGUUUCAUUUGCCAGAUACAAGUAAUUGUAUGUAUGACCCAGUGUAUCAUGAUUUCAUAGGAGGGCACUGAAAUUGUGAAAAUGUUCCUAAACACUGAUCAUUUAAUGUUUGGGGUUUUGUUUUUUUUUUUUUUAAGGAAGCUUUCAAGGAUGGAAUGAAUUUUACAAGUAACUUGAGUCAAUUUUAGUCAGUGUCAUUCCAGCCUUGCGAUUGACUAUUUGUACAGUUCAUUCUGUGGAAAUGCCAUGAAACUCAAUACUUUGCCAUUUUGUCAUGAUUUUUUUUUUAUAAAGAUUACACCAGGCCCUAAUUAUAUGGCUUCCAUCACCAUAGUACCCAAGGAAUAGUUCAGGUUGCAACUCUUCAGCACUUACAUAAAAGCUUCAUUUUAAUUUAUUUAAGGGAUAUACUAGUGUGUGACUUUUCAUUAUGAAAGACCUGAGGAGAGGUAACAGGGGACUGAAAGAGGGCACUUUCAUUAAAGGAUCUACAUCUCUACUGGCAUUUUUGACAACUCAAUACCAAAGAAAAAUUAGAUUAGGAAACGCCCGACCCACCCAAAAAGCCAUUCUUAAAACUCUAGUGGACUUUAUUAGAAUACAAGCAUUGACAGGUAAAACACAAAAAUACCACAGUUUAAUAUUAAACAAUUAACACCACCACGGUCAGUGGUAACAGAUUAAGUACAUUAAUAAUAAAAUCUAGUGCCUGUACUUAUACAAAAUGUAAACAAUUACUGUGGCAGUUAAUAUUUAAUGAUUACGGUCAUGUGAAAUACCUGGAAUAAAAAUUAUUCACCUUUCCUUA